RNAcentral lists this ribosomal RNA (1187 nucleotides) under marine metagenome. Its description in RNAcentral is "bacterial SSU rRNA". It matches the Rfam family "Bacterial small subunit ribosomal RNA", at positions 8 to 1240 of the family's 1533-position model. The record is from RNAcentral.
AGAGUUUGAUUAUGGCUCAGAACGAACGCUGGCGGCAUGCCUCAUACAUGCAAGUCGAACGAAGUCUUCGGACUUAGUGGCGCACGGGUGAGUAACAUGUGGGAAUCUACCUGAAGGUUCGGAAUAACUAUGGGAAACUGUAGCUAAUACCGGAUGUGUCUGCAAAGAGAAAGAUUUAUCGCCUUCAGAUGAGCCCGCACUAGAUUAGCUAGUUGGUGAGGUAAAUGCUCCACCAAGGCUACGAUCUAUAGCUGAUUUGAGAGGAUGAUCAGCCACACUGGGACUGAGACACGGCCCAGACUCUACGGGAGGCAGCAGUAGGGAAUAUUGGACAAUGGGGGAAACCCUGAUCCAGCAAUGCCGCGUGAGUGAAGAAGGCCCUCGGGUUGUAAAACUCUUUCAUCAAUGAUGAUAAUGACAUUAGUUGAAGAAGAAGCUCCGGCUAACUUCGUGCCAGCAGCCGCGGUAAUACGAAGGGGGCUAGCGUUGUUCGGAAUCACUGGGCGUAAAGCGUAUGUAGGCGGAUCAAAAAGUUAGAUGUGAAAUCCCUGGGCUCAACCCAGGAACUGCAUUUAAAACUAGUGAUCUAGAAAUUGGUAAAGGUUAGUAGAAUUUCCAGUGUAGAGGUGAAAUUCGUAGAUAUUGGAAAGAAUACCAGAAGCGAAGGCGACUAACUAGGCCAUUUUUGACGCUGAGAUACGAAAGCGUGGGUAGCAAACAGGAUUAGAUACCCUGGUAGUCCACGCAGUAAACGAUGAGUGCUAGUCGCUGGGACAAUAGUUUCAGUGUCGAAGCUAACGCAUUAAGCACUCCGCCUGGGAAGUACGGUCGCAAGAUUAAAACUCAAAUAAAUUGACGGGGGCCCGCACAAGCGGUGGAGCAUGUGGUUUAAUUCGAAGCAACGCGAAGAACCUUACCAGACCUUGACAUGGUAUGUUUGAAUUACAGAAUCGUAAUUCUUCAGUUCGGCUGGCAUACACACAGGUGCUGCAUGGCUGUCGUCAGCUCGUGUCGUGAGAUGUUGGGUUAAGUCCCGCAACGAGCGCAACCCUCAUUUUUAGUUGCCAUCAGGUUAUGCUGGGCACUCUAGAAAAACUGCCGGUGAUAAGCUGGAGGAAGGCGGGGAUGACGUCAAGUCCUCAUGGCCCUUACGGUCUGGGCUACACACGUGCUACAAUGGUGGUGAC